UUAAGCGACUAAGCGUACACGGUGGAUGCCCUGGCAGUCAGAGGCGAUGAAGGACGUGCUAAUCUGCGAAAAGCGUCGGUAAGGUGAUAUGAACCGUUAUAACCGGCGAUGUCCGAAUGGGGAAACCCAGUGCAAUUCGUUGCACUAUCGUUAACUGAAUACAUAGGUUAACGAGGCGAACCGGGGGAACUGAAACAUCUAAGUACCCCGAGGAAAAGAAAUCAACCGAGAUUCCCCCAGUAGCGGCGAGCGAACGGGGAGCAGCCCAGAGUCUGAAUCAGCUUGUGUGUUAGUGGAACGGUCUGGAAAGUCCGACGGUACAGGGUGAUAGUCCCGUACACCAAAAUGCACAGGUUGUGAACUCGAAGAGUAGGGCGGGACACGUGGUAUCCUGUCUGAAUAUGGGGGGACCAUCCUCCAAGGCUAAAUACUCCUGACUGACCGAUAGUGAACCAGUACCGUGAGGGAAAGGCGAAAAGAACCCCGGCGAGGGGAGUGAAAAGAACCUGAAACCGUGUACGUACAAGCAGUGGGAGCACCUUCGGGUGUGACUGCGUACCUUUUGUAUAAUGGGUCAGCGACUUAUAUUCUGUAGCAAGGUUAACCGUAUAGGGGAGCCGCAGGGAAACCGAGUCUUAACUGGGCGUUAAGUUGCAGGGUAUAGACCCGAAACCCGGUGAUCUAGCCAUGGGCAGGUUGAAGGUUGGGUAACACUAACUGGAGGACCGAACCGACUAAUGUUGAAAAAUUAGCGGAUGACUUGUGGCUGGGGGUGAAAGGCCAAUCAAACCGGGAGAUAGCUGGUUCUCCCCGAAAGCUAUUUAGGUAGCGCCUCGUGAAUUCAUCUUCGGGGGUAGAGCACUGUUUCGGCUAGGGGGUCAUCCCGACUUACCAACCCGAUGCAAACUACGAAUACCGAAGAAUGUUAUCACGGGAGACACACGGCGGGUGCUAACGUCCGUCGUGAAGAGGGAAACAACCCAGACCGCCAGCUAAGGUCCCAAAGUCAUGGUUAAGUGGGAAACGAUGUGGGAAGGCACAGACAGCCAGGAUGUUGGCUUAGAAGCAGCCAUCAUUUAAAGAAAGCGUAAUAGCUCACUGGUCGAGUCGGCCUGCGCGGAAGAUGUAACGGGGCUAAACCAUGCACCGAAGCUGCGGCAGCGACACUAUGUGUUGUUGGGUAGGGGAGCGUUCUGUAAGCCUGCGAAGGUGUGCUGUGAGGCAUGCUGGAGGUAUCAGAAGUGCGAAUGCUGACAUAAGUAACGAUAAAGCGGGUGAAAAGCCCGCUCGCCGGAAGACCAAGGGUUCCUGUCCAACGUUAAUCGGGGCAGGGUGAGUCGACCCCUAAGGCGAGGCCGAAAGGCGUAGUCGAUGGGAAACAGGUUAAUAUUCCUGUACUUGGUGUUACUGCGAAGGGGGGACGGAGAAGGCUAUGUUAGCCGGGCGACGGUUGUCCCGGUUUAAGCAUGUAGGCUGGUUAUCCAGGCAAAUCCGGAUAAUCAAGGCUGAGGUGUGAUGACGAGGCACUACGGUGCUGAAGUAACAAAUGCCCUGCUUCCAGGAAAAGCCUCUAAGCAUCAGGUAACAUCAAAUCGUACCCCAAACCGACACAGGUGGUCAGGUAGAGAAUACCAAGGCGCUUGAGAGAACUCGGGUGAAGGAACUAGGCAAAAUGGUGCCGUAACUUCGGGAGAAGGCACGCUGGUGUGUAGGUGAAGCCCCUGCGGGUGGAGCUGAGACCAGUCGAAGAUACCAGCUGGCUGCAACUGUUUAUUAAAAACACAGCACUGUGCAAACACGAAAGUGGACGUAUACGGUGUGACGCCUGCCCGGUGCCGGAAGGUUAAUUGAUGGGGUUAUCCGUAAGGAGAAGCUCUUGAUCGAAGCCCCGGUAAACGGCGGCCGUAACUAUAACGGUCCUAAGGUAGCGAAAUUCCUUGUCGGGUAAGUUCCGACCUGCACGAAUGGCGUAAUGAUGGCCAGGCUGUCUCCACCCGAGACUCAGUGAAAUUGAACUCGCUGUGAAGAUGCAGUGUACCCGCGGCAAGACGGAAAGACCCCGUGAACCUUUACUAUAGCUUGACACUGAACAUUGAGCCUUGAUGUGUAGGAUAGGUGGGAGGCUUUGAAGCGUGGACGCCAGUCUGCGUGGAGCCAACCUUGAAAUACCACCCUUUAAUGUUUGAUGUUCUAACGUUGGCCCCUGACCGGGGUUGCGGACAGUGUCUGGUGGGUAGUUUGACUGGGGCGGUCUCCUCCCAAAGCGUAACGGAGGAGCACGAAGGUUAGCUAAUCCUGGUCGGACAUCAGGAGGUUAGUGCAAUGGCAUAAGCUAGCUUGACUGCGAGCGUGACGGCGCGAGCAGGUGCGAAAGCAGGUCAUAGUGAUCCGGUGGUUCUGAAUGGAAGGGCCAUCGCUCAACGGAUAAAAGGUACUCCGGGGAUAACAGGCUGAUACCGCCCAAGAGUUCAUAUCGACGGCGGUGUUUGGCACCUCGAUGUCGGCUCAUCACAUCCUGGGGCUGAAGUAGGUCCCAAGGGUAUGGCUGUUCGCCAUUUAAAGUGGUACGCGAGCUGGGUUUAGAACGUCGUGAGACAGUUCGGUCCCUAUCUGCCGUGGGCGCUGGAGAAUUGAGGGGGGCUGCUCCUAGUACGAGAGGACCGGAGUGGACGCAUCACUGGUGUUCGGGUUGUCAUGCCAAUGGCACUGCCCGGUAGCUAAAUGCGGAAGAGAUAAGUGCUGAAAGCAUCUAAGCACGAAACUUGCCCCGAGAUGAGUUCUCCCUGAGACUUUAAGUCUCCUGAAGGAACGUUAAAGACGAUGACGUUGAUAGGCCGGGUGUGUAAGCGCAGCGAUGCGUUGAGCUAACCGGUACUAAUGAACCGUGAGGCUUAACCUU
RNAcentral lists this ribosomal RNA (2899 nucleotides) under Klebsiella pneumoniae MGH 39. RNAcentral describes it as "bacterial LSU rRNA". It matches the Rfam family "Bacterial large subunit ribosomal RNA". The record is from RNAcentral. Lineage: Bacteria; Pseudomonadati; Pseudomonadota; Gammaproteobacteria; Enterobacterales; Enterobacteriaceae.